AGUGAACGCUGGCGGUAGGCCUAACACAUGCAAGUCGAACGGCAGCACAGUAAGAGCUUGCUCUUACGGGUGGCGAGUGGCGGACGGGUGAGGAAUACAUCGGAAUCUACUUUUUCGUGGGGGAUAACGUAGGGAAACUUACGCUAAUACCGCAUACGACCUACGGGUGAAAGCAGGGGAUCUUCGGACCUUGCGCGAUUGAAUGAGCCGAUGUCGGAUUAGCUAGUUGGCUGGGUAAAGGCCCACCAAGGCGACGAUCCGUAGCUGGUCUGAGAGGAUGAUCAGCCACACUGGAACUGAGACACGGUCCAGACUCCUACGGGAGGCAGCAGUGGGGAAUAUUGGACAAUGGGCGAAAGCCUGAUCCAGCCAUACCGCGUGGGUGAAGAAGGCCUUCGGGUUGUAAAGCCCUUUUGUUGGGAAAGAAAAGAAGCAGGUGAAUACCCCGCUGUUCUGACGGUACCCAAAGAAUAAGCACCGGCUAACUUCGUG
Molecule: ribosomal RNA, 492 nt
Filed under: uncultured bacterium
Lineage: Bacteria
Description: partial 16S ribosomal RNA
Rfam family: Bacterial small subunit ribosomal RNA
Source: RNAcentral